RNAcentral lists this small nuclear RNA (313 nucleotides) under Vulpes vulpes (red fox). Its description in RNAcentral is "7SK RNA (ENSVVUG00000019683.1)". It matches the Rfam family "7SK RNA". Rfam says of the family: 7SK was discovered as an abundant small nuclear RNA in the mid-70s but a possible function has only recently been suggested. Two independent studies have found that 7SK RNA binds the CDK9/cyclin T complex (known as elongation factor P-TEFb). P-TEFb activates transcription by phosphorylating the C-terminal domain of RNA polymerase II. The record is from Rfam by way of RNAcentral. Lineage: Eukaryota; Metazoa; Chordata; Mammalia; Carnivora; Canidae.
GGAUGGGAAGGUGAUCUGGCUGUGAUAUGUGUCACCCCACUGAUGAUGGCCAGUUUGAUUCGGCUGAUCUGGCAGGCUAGGCUGGUGUCUCCUUCCUCCCUCAAAUCUCCAUGUGCAUCCCUCCUGAGGCUUUGUGCUCCAUGGAGGAAGGUGACCUUCCCCCCAUAGAGGAGGAUUCAGUCAAGGGUAAAUGAGUAGCUGCAUCCCCCUGCUAGACCUCCAAACAAAUUCUUAAGGUCCAUUUGUAGUAGAACGUAGGGUAAUCGAGUUUCUAAGCCUCCAGACACAUUCAAAUGGGGCACUGCCUUUCUUU